GUUCUGGUAGCUCAGCUGGAUAGAGCAACGGAUUUCUAAUCCGUAGGUCGCAGGUUCGAAUCCUGCCCGGAACG
Non-coding RNA from Lentisphaerae bacterium GWF2_50_93, 74 nucleotides. Lineage: Bacteria; Pseudomonadati; Lentisphaerota. The record is from Rfam.